CACGUAGUUGGCCGGUCCUUCUUCUCUCACUACCGUCACUUGCGCUUCGUCAUGAGCGAAAGAGGUUUACAACCCGAAGGCCGUCAUCCCUCACGCGGCGUUGCUAGAUCAGGCUUUCGCCCAUUGUCCAAUAUUCCCCACUGCUGCCUCCCGUAGGAGUCUGGGCCGUGUCUCAGUCCCAGUGUGGCCGGUCACCCUCUCAGGCCGGCUACCCGUCGAAGCCUUGGUGAGCCACUACCUCACCAACAAGCUGAUAGGCCGCGAGCACAUCCCUCACCGCUAAACACUUUCCACCCCACCACAUGCGUGGAAGGGUCAUAUCAGGUAUUAGCCACAGUUUCCCGUGGUUAUCCCUGAGUGAAGGGCAGAUUACUCACGUGUUACUCACCCGUUCGCCGCUCGUGUACCCCGAAGGGCCUUACCGCUCGACUUGCAUGUGUUAAGCACGCCGCCAGCGUUCGUCCUCGAGCCAGGAUCAAACUACU
This 485-nucleotide ribosomal RNA is filed under the name uncultured Nocardioides sp. RNAcentral describes it as "partial 16S ribosomal RNA". The record is from RNAcentral. Lineage: Bacteria; Bacillati; Actinomycetota; Actinomycetes; Propionibacteriales; Nocardioidaceae.